Molecule: ribosomal RNA, 472 nt
Filed under: uncultured bacterium
Lineage: Bacteria
Description: bacterial SSU rRNA
Rfam family: Bacterial small subunit ribosomal RNA
Source: RNAcentral
UGCUUUACACAUGCAAGUCGAGCGGCAGCGGCGGGGGCAACCCUGGCGGCGAGCGGCGAACGGGUGAGUAACAUAUCGGAACGUACCCAGUCGGUGGGGGAUAACUAUCCGAAAAGGAUAGCUAAUACCGCAUACGAACUGAGGUUGAAAGCAGGGGAUCGCAAGACCUUGCGCUGAUGGAUGAGCCGAAGUCGGAUUAGCUUGUUGGUGGGGUAAUGGCCUACCAAGGCGACGAUCCGUAGCUGGUCUGAGAGGACGACCAGCCACACUGGGACUGAGACACCGGCCCAGACUCCUACGGGAGGCAGCAGGUGGGGAAUAUUGGACAAUGGGGGCAACCCUGAUCCAGCGACGCCGCGUGUGUGAAGAAGGCCUGCGGGUUGUAAAGCACUUUUAGUGGGGAGGAAGGUCUGCGACCUAACACGUCGUGGAAUUGACUUAACCCACAGAAAAAGCACCGGCUAACUCUGUG